UCAUAUAUUCCAAACCAACCACAUCGGAAAUGGCCGCCUUAAAAUUGGAAUGACUCAAAUGGACAUGUCGAAAGAAGACAGGACAGUUUCAAGGGCUAGAAAUUGUGGUGUUUCAAAAUGGUUGUAGUGGUCAAAUAGAACAAUCUCAUGAACCUUUAUCGUUGUCCUUUUUAGCCUGUUGGCUGUGGCGCCCCCCGAGCUUCGCAUGGCCGCCUCUCUGCUUCUCUUCUUUGAGCUCUAGGAAGAGAAUGCGCGGGGUUCACAAAUUUGGUAGCUGCAUGUGGAGUCUGGGCCAUCUCUACACACAGCCUUUCAACUUUUAAGGCUGUUUGUUAUGGUGAGGUGACUGGCCCGGGUUGUCAAGGUGUCUUCCCUCUCGGCUGUUUCCUUUGAAUAACAUAUAAUUGGCAAUAACCCUUUGUUUUGUCAACUACUGGUCAAUAUCAUGUCUGCAUCGUCAACAUUGUGUUUGCUGCCAUUUGUUAAAAAUAAAUGUAAAUAUAAAAAUUCAAAAUUUAUAAAUAAUAUCACACCGUGUGAAAACUUCUAGAA
Molecule: long non-coding RNA, 552 nt
Organism: Juglans microcarpa x Juglans regia
Lineage: Eukaryota; Viridiplantae; Streptophyta; Magnoliopsida; Fagales; Juglandaceae
Exons: 2
Source: RefSeq, a predicted model, not a curated record